Molecule: long non-coding RNA, 275 nt
Organism: Zerene cesonia (dogface butterfly)
Lineage: Eukaryota; Metazoa; Arthropoda; Insecta; Lepidoptera; Pieridae
Exons: 2
Source: RefSeq, a predicted model, not a curated record
UUUUAUGUGAUGCAAUUAUGUUGCGACUGUUCAGAGAAAUAUUACGUAUUGAUCGAAGAACAUACAAAAAUUUUGGUCAUAAAAGAGAGCCAGAAUCAAGAUUUACAGUAAUUUGGCAUGGAUUUCUAACAUUUAGUUUUAUUGGACUGGGAGUGGAAUGGAAAAGAGUUUUAACAUUUUUGUUUGGAGACACUGAUCUACCACAUCCUCUUGAAUUAGAACCACAACAUGAAAAUCCAUCAAAAGUAUAGAAAAAUCAUGCUAAUAUUUGUAAA